CUUUCUCACCCUUCCCUACCUUUGAAAAUCAACCACCGUCACCACCAUCGAUAGUCACUGCAACAACGAUUUGUCGACAUUACCGUAAAUCGUCGGCUACACCACUGCUUUUACCCUAACACCACCAAUUGCAACCACAACAAAGCCUUCCGUAAUCAAACUUUAAACACAAACCCAAUAAUCUUAGCCUUCAAUUUCCUACCCUCCACCACCAAAUCCCUUAUGGGCUUCCCAUAAAAAGUUAAAAGCACUAUCCGACAUGUAUAUUUGUAUUUCGUACUCCACCCAAUCCGAAUGUCCGCUGCAAUUUUUCCCAAGGAUGUCAAGAUCUUAAGGGUGACUUUAUUUGUGUGUUUUUGCUCAUUACUAGGGUGAUUGGAACGAAGAUUGUGUCCACACAAAAUACAGGUAAAACAUUGUUAAAUUAUAAAUGAUACUCCGGAUUUGAAAUUUUUUAUCAGAACCCUCGUCUGAACUCUUAGCAAUUUUGUUCGUUCAGACUCUAGAAUGAGAGCGCCUUUUGUGGAAAUAUUUCUCAUUAAUCAUAACAUAGGUACAAGUCUGUAUAAAUCGAGUUACAGCAAAAGAAUAUAAGGAAAGAAUAAUAAAAGGAAAAUUAAAAAAAUGCUAACUUUUAAGGAAACUAAACAUCCUAGGAUAUUCAUACAUUUUUAGCCGAGAUUCUCUUAGAGAAAUAGGAAACUUUCCAACACUCUCCCUCAAGCUGGCUUGAAGAUAUCUAUCAUAGCUAGCUUGCUAAUGAAGUUUUAAAACUGUAUUUUCGACAGCCCCUUUCUCAGUAUGUCUGCUACUUGCUUAGCUUUCGAGAUAUAUGGAGACAUAUUACUCCUUCAUCUAUUUUCUCUUUGGUAAAAUGCAUGUCUACCUCCACAUGUUUCGUUCUACCAUAAAGAAUUAUGAGCAAUAGCAAUUGCAGCUUUAUUGUCACGAUAUAGUUUCAUUAGUAGUGAAUUAGUAACCUUUAAUUCUUCUAGCAACCUUUUGAUCCAUAAAGCUUUACAAAUGCCAUGAGCAACAGCCAUAAAUUUUGCUUUUGCACUACUUCUUGCCACCACAUUUUGUUUUUUACUGCGCCAUGUUACAAAUUUUCUCCAAUAAAAGUACAAUAGCAAGAAGUUGAUCUUCUAUGGUGACACUUCCAACCCAAUCUGCAUCAGUGUGUACUUUCAAUCUGUAAAUUCCCAUGUCCUCUAAGUAACAAACCUUUACCUGGAGUCUCUUUUAGGUACCUUAAAAUUCUGUACACAGCAUCAAAGUGCUCAAGUCCUUGUGAGUGCAUAAAUUGACAUACCAUGCUUAUUGGAAAAGCUAUGCCAUGAUAUGCAUGAGAGAGAUAAAUGACUUUUUCUACCAAUUAUUGGUAUUGCUCUCUAUUGGUUACCUAUUCACCCUUAGCUGGUUGGAUUUUUACGUUCGGUUCUAUAGGUGUUUCUAUUGCUUUGCACCAUAGCAAACCAGUUUGUCCAAGUAAAUCAAGAACAUACUUGUGUUGGAAAAACCUUUCAAAUUCCAAACCAAGAAAAUACUUCAAGUUACCUAAGUCUCUGAUCUCGAAUUUCUGAGCACUAAUUUUUUUAACCUCUCUAGCUCAUUGCUAUCACCAAUUGUGAGAAUUAUACAUCCACAUGGAUAAUAACAAUAGCCAUUUUACCUCUACUCUUGUGUAUAUAGAACAUAGUAUGAUCGGCUUGACCAUAGCAAUAGUUGUGACUCUUUAUUACCCAAAGCAUUGAAAACAAGCUCGAGGAGAUUGUUUGAGUCUGUGCAAAGAUUUUUUUUAAUAUGAACAUCUUGCCUUUGCCAUCUUUCCCUUCAAAUCCUAGUGGUAGAUUCAUAAAGACUUCCUACUCUAAGUCUUCAUUUAAGAAGGCAUUCUUCACAUUUAGUUGAUAUAAGGGCCAGUUAGAUUGAAUUGAUAGAGAGAAUAACGCAUGGAUUGAGUUCAUCUUGGCUGCAGGAGUAAAUGUUUUCUCGUAGUCAAUUUCAUGUGUUUAAGUGAACCCCUUCGUCACAAUUUUUGCUUUGUACCUUUAUAUACUCCCUUCAGCCUUGAACUUUAUUGCAAAUAGCCAUUUAGACCCAACAAUCUUGUUCCCCUCUGGCAGGACACCAAUUUCCCAAGUGCUGUUAGCAAUUAGUACGUCCAUCUCUUCUUUAACAUCCAAUCUCCAUUCCAUGUGAUCUAGUUCUUUCUGAAUGGUUUUUGAAAUAAAUAGAGGAGAAACAUUUGAAGAAAAUGCCUUAUAAGUAUCGGAGAGUCUAUAAGAGAAUAGAUGGUUGGAAAUAGGCAGGUCAAGAUCAAAAGAAUUAUCUAAAGAAGGAUUUAGAGAAGUAGUACCUGAAGUAUGCUGAGGAGGACCAACUAUUGUAGGUGUUGAUGAUUGGCCUUGCUCUGGAUUUGAAAGAGCUUGAUGAUUUCUUUUUCUGUUAUAAACACAAAGCUCAAAUGAGGGAAUAUUUGAUAGUACUUCCCCUAUUUAUGAAUCAGGAAUGCCUUGUAUAGGUAGAAUAUGAUUUCCGUUAUUUUCAUUGAUUAAAGUAUCAAUUUCCAGACCUUUAAAGAAUCGAUGUCAAUGUCAAGGACAAUAUUGGGAAGAGGCUUAUAGGAUCGUCAGAACUUAUCUUCAUUUUUCCGUCUCUCCCCCUGAAGAUAGUUACGACAAAAAAAGAAGAAGCUGAUUUUCAAUAAAUUAACAUCCAUACUGAUUGUACCAUUUUUAUUAAGAGCACAGCCAAGCAAAACACAUUUUUCUGCCAUAGGAUAAAGCUUGGAUCGAAGAUGGGCCACCAUAUGAACAAAAACACUGCAUCUAAACAUAUUUCGUUGCAAGUCAGACGAUAUCCAACAAGAAAGUAACAAUUUUUUAGGCAAUCUAAAGGAGUAAUAUAUUUUAAAACUCGAGUAGGCAUCUUAUUAAUGAGAUAACAUGAAGUUAAAAUAGCUUCACCCUCAUGCAACCACUAACAAGUUAAAGCCUGUGCAACCUCUAACAAGUGAUGAUUUUUCCUUUCAGCAAUGUCAUUUUGUUGUGGGGGUGUUGGGACAAGUAGAUUGAUGUUGAAUACCCUUUGUAGAGAGAAACGUUCCUUAAAAUUUGUUAAAAUAUUCAAUACCAUUAUUGGUUCAAAGGAUAUUGAUUUUUCUUUAGAAUUGGGUUCAACCAUAAUACAAAAAUCAUGAAAAAAUUUUGCAACUUCAGAUUUAUCAUUCAACAAGUAGACCCAACACAAAUGUUUAUGAUCAUCAAUAAAUAUAACAAACCAUUUCUUACCAGAAGUAAUGGUGAUUUUUUAGGGACCCUAAACAUCACUAUGGUUUAAAUAAAAAUGUUUGGAAGAAUGAUAAGCUUUAGAUUGUCUAGUGCUUCAGUAACAUUUGGAUAUGUGGCAAACAUCACAAUGAAGAGAAUUACAAUCCAAAUUUUUAAAUAAGUUAGGAAACAAAUGUUUUAAAUAGAGAAAACUAGGAUGUCCUAAUCUAAAAUGUCAAAGCACUAUUUGUUCAUUACAAAAUCAGAUCUAGUACUAUUACUUAAACCUUGAGCCUUUUUAUUGUCAAAUAAAUUCUCAUCAAAGUAGUAGAGUCCACCAAUCAUCCUACCACUGCCAAUCAUCCUCUCCGAGAGUUUGUCCUGAAAUUCACAAUGGGAAUCUAAGAAAAUGACACGACAAUUAGUAUCCUGUGAAAAUAGCGAGUUACAGGCAAGUUUAGGGACGUGAAGGAGAGAUAUGAUUUCUAUUUUUCUAGAGAUUUGGACAUAACUUAUUACAACAAUGGAAGAAAAACUUUCAUCUGCAAUUUUAAUAUAUUUAUUAAUAGAACAGGGAGAAUAAGAUUAUAACAACUGAGAGGUACUAGUCAUGUGAUCAGAUGCACAAGAUCAAUAAUCCAUGGUGCAAGAUUUAAGCUUCAACGGUAGGCACUAGAGUUUUCACCUGUUUGAGCUAAUGAACUAAUAUGAAGACUGGAUGCAGAAGUAGAUUUAAGCAGUUGAAGAAGAUGAUCCAUUUGCUCAGCACUUAGGAAAUUAGCUUCAUUGGCUUUAUCUACUGCAUGAUUGGUUCCAGAGGGUCCAGAUAUGUUAUUCUUCCAAUUUGUUGACUUUCCAUGGAGUUUUCAGCAAUUUUCUCGAGUGUUCAUGGCAUCUUGCAGUAGUCGCACCAUGCUUGAUGCUUAUCUUCUAAUCUUUUAUCAUCUUCUUAUUUUGUUUGCAAUCAUCAGGAUUUUUCCAUUCAUAUUCAUUCAAUAAAUCUAGAUCUUGCCAUAGGCCCUUAAGAACAUUUAAUUACCUUGUUACAUAGCCAUUUCCUUAAUAACUAUUGCUAAUCUUCCGUUGCAGUUUAUAAAUUUGAGAGUAAUUCCUAAGGUUAGCGUACAUUUGAUUCACAUUGUCCCAAAGUUCUUUUGCAGUAGAAUAGCACAUGUAACUAGUGUUAAUUUCUUCAUCCAUAGCAUUCACGAGCUAUGCCACCACCAAGGAAUUUUCAGCAUCCCAUAUAGCAUAAGAUAGGCCUAUCUUCCCAGACUCUUUAGCUUCACCAGUAAAGUACCCCAUCUUCCCUCUUCCAUGAACAUAGAUCCUGAUGGAUUGUGACAAUCAUAGAAAGUUGGCCUUAUUCAAUCAUAUAUUCGUAAUCUGGACAUAGUAAGUUUCAUAAUAGAUAGCUUUGAUUGGAGUUUCAACCAUGGCUACAGUAAUAGAAGAAAGGGGUAGAGUUUGAACAAGAAAGAAAACUAUUGGCCACAAGGAAAAUUAUGGUUUACAAAAGGUUAAGAGCCGAACCUGGUUCGCAUGCCAUCUAGAAUGAGAGAGCCUCUUGUGAAAAUAAUUCUCCUUAAUCAUAACAUAGGUUCGUGGCUAUAUAAACAAAGUUACAGUAGAAGAAAAGAAAGAAAGAAAGAAUAAAAGAAAAGAAAAGAAUAAAAAAUGCUAACUUAUAAAGUAACUAUAUAUCCUAGGAUAUUCACAAAUUUACAGUCGAGAUUUUCUUACAGUCCGUUUGAUUGUAAAGAUCGAAUUUGGAUUGAAAGAAAACGAAUUUCAGGGAAUUGAAUUGCCUAGAAAUUGUAAAUUAUUGUGUUUGAUUAGUAUAAUUUUCCACGUGGAAAAUAUUGAAAUAAAAGUAUAAUUUUGUGUCCGUUUAGCUUUGUUUUACAUGAAAAUUGUCAAUUUAAGAGAUGAAAUUUACUGGUAUUCGGGAUGAAAUUUGUUUCCAUUAUCAAAACAAAAACAAAAAAAAUCAAGAAAAUCAUCUAUCUUUUGAUGUUCGUUUGACUUUGUUUUACAUGAAAAUUGUCAAUUAAAUGGAAAUUUUUUUUACAAUUACAACCAAAAAAAAAAAAAAAAAAAACACCUGGAAAAUCAACUCCCACCAUAUUGGUGGGAAUUGAUUUUCCCACAAAAGCUAGAAAACUACAACUCCCAAGAAAUCCAAGAACUUAAUUUCCAUGGAAAAUAUAACACUGUCAAACACACAAAUUUUGGAAAUUGGCAUUCUGAUUCCAUUUUACCUAGAAAAUUGGUGCUUAGAGAAAUAUGAAACUUUCCAACAAGCACCAAGUCUAUGAGGAAAGAAAGCAGCUUUGAAAUCUUCAAGAAAGUGAUGGACUCCUACCAAGUUUACAAAUUCUAUAAGAACCCAAAAGGAUGGAGAAGAAUUUGCAACAACUAAUUUUGUUAUUAUGGCAAGUUGUGGAGGGUAAGUAGUUAGAAAGAAUCUAUAAAUACAAUGGCAACAAGUAGUUAGGAGAGAGACUUAGGAGAGAAUAGCCCUCUCUCAAGGCUGCUUGUAUAUUUUCUCUAUUUUCUGUAAUUUCCAUUCAAUCAAUACAAAGUAUCUCUGCUAUCAUAUUCAUCUGUUCAUUGCAAUUACAAGUGGUCCCUAUCAAAAUGGUGUCAAACAAGGGCUAAGAUUGAUAAUAAGAAUUUUUGAAGUCAUCAAAAUUCAUCUCCAAUGGUAUGGUGUCGAUCGUCAUUUAAAA
RNAcentral lists this long non-coding RNA (6004 nucleotides) under Olea europaea subsp. europaea. Lineage: Eukaryota; Viridiplantae; Streptophyta; Magnoliopsida; Lamiales; Oleaceae. The record is from RNAcentral.